RNAcentral lists this ribosomal RNA (428 nucleotides) under uncultured bacterium. Its description in RNAcentral is "partial 16S ribosomal RNA". It matches the Rfam family "Bacterial small subunit ribosomal RNA", at positions 354 to 796 of the family's 1533-position model. The record is from RNAcentral.
ACUAGGAAUUUUGCGCAAUGGGGGCAACCCUGACGCAGCGACACAGCGUGGAGGAGGAAGGUCUUCGGAUUGUAAACUCCUUUUAUAUGGGAAGAAUAGAUGACUGUACCAUAUGAAUAAGCACCUGCUAACUACGUGCCAGAAGCAUCGGUGAUGCGUAGGGUGCGAACGUUAUCCGGAUUUAUUGGGCGUAAAGAGAUGCGUAGGCGUUUCAGUUAGUCUUUCGUUAAAAGUCACGGCUUAACCGUGAAGAUGCGUUGGAUACUGCUGAAAUUGAGACAUGAAGGGGUGAACGGAACUCCAAGUGGAGCGGUGAAAUGCGUUGAUAUUUGGAAGAACAUCAGAGGCGAAGGCGGUUCACUGGUCAUUGUCUGACGCUAAGGCUCGAAAGCGUGGGUAGCAAAACGGAUUAGAAACCCUGGUAGUCC